RNAcentral lists this small RNA (126 nucleotides) under uncultured Blautia sp. Its description in RNAcentral is "Ribosomal protein L10 leader". It matches the Rfam family "Ribosomal protein L10 leader", at positions 11 to 131 of the family's 138-position model. From Rfam's summary of the family: This family is a putative r-protein leader autoregulatory structure found in B. subtilis and other low-GC Gram-positive bacteria. It is located in the 5' untranslated regions of mRNAs encoding ribosomal proteins L10 and L12 (rplJ-rplL). The record is from RNAcentral. Lineage: Bacteria; Bacillati; Bacillota; Clostridia; Lachnospirales; Lachnospiraceae.
AAUAGCUGCCGAAGACAGCAGGUGCCGUAAGGCAUAAGGAUCAAAACGCCUGCCGAGGAAAGAUUCAUUCUUAAACAGAUAAGAUGGAUAAGACCUCUUUGUCUUUUGGACAAAGAGGUUUUCUUA